UAAUUCCUUCUUUCUUGUCGAUCUGAUUCUCUUCUUCAUCUUCAUCGGCGAUCUCUCGAUCUCAAUCUCAAGAGAUCGAGAAGAAAAACAUUGAACACUCGAUCUCUCAAUCUCCAAUCUCUUCUUAUCAUUCUCUUCUUCACCAUCGAUCUCUCAAUCUCCAAUCUCUUCUUCCUCAUCAACCUUCCACAUCGAUCACAAGAGAAAAAGUUAUCUUCAAAGUUCAAAUCUCAAGAGAGAGGCGAAGUUCUCUUCAGACGAAAUUGGAGUUUUUAGUUUUGCUUCGCACUUUCUCUCCUUAAGGUAUUUCGAAUUGAACGAUUGUUUAUGAUUUUCAAUUGAUUUCCAGCUUCAUUCUUCUCUCAAUUGUUUAUGAUUGUUUAUGACUUAGGGUUCUAAAUCAAAGGUUUUAUCAAUCUCUAUUGUUUAUGUAAAGUUUUGUUGAUUGAAUUUCACUGAUUGCAGUUUAUCGACUUAUAAAUGUGAUUGAGAUUGUUAGGUUUAAUGGUCAUUAUACAUAUGAUUUGAUAUGGUUAGGUUCAAUGAUCAACAAAUGUUCUUAAAACCUGGAUCCAAAUUCCAAAUACUGUGCAUUUGCCUCAUAAAUACCUUUUUUUCUAGUCACAAUUUUAUUCAAAACACAGUUGUUAAAUGCCUGGUGCGCUGUUUUUUGUCCCACGAUGGUCCUUGAUCUGCCUGGUGCGCUAUUUCAAUUGUACAUUUGUCUUCAUCAAAACUGCUAUAUAUCACCAUCAUCACAAGGAGAGUAGUAAUACUGCACAUGUCUGCCUUACUUAGCUGAUUGAUUGAGAUUAGUUUCUAGAUAUCAGUAUACUUAUGAAGUUUGAGAUGGUUCAAGGAAUGUAUGUGUAGACUAGUAUCUACAAGUGUCUGUUUCAUGAGUAAGAGAGUGAUCUUCUAGAACUAGGCCCUGAACCCAAUAUACAAUGACCUGCCUUUAUUAGUUUUCUUUUGAUUUGUAAUAGUCUUAUUCUUUCAUCUGAUGCAACAUUCAGAUUUAGAAUUCCAAGAAACCGCUUUGGAAAUAGAAGAUUUGGGCCCUGUUCGGUUGUAGAAAAAUGAGCUUGUUUUCCAAAAAAUGUUUUUCGUAGAUAACAAAAAACAGAGAACCUGUUCGCUUGUACUUCCUUUUCAGAUUUUAGAAAUGGGUUUUCAGUUUUCUAAAAAGUUUCCAUUUUCUGUUUUGGCUUAUAGACGGAAAACUCUAAAACGACAUUUUCUAAAUUAUAGAAAACACGAGUUAAGGUUAAGUCCUCCAUCAAAAUAUAUAUCUCUCGUCGCUCUCCGAAGGUUCUCUACUAUGUUUGAAAGCCAUCAUAUGACCAAAAAUCACGCAUUGAAGUUAUACACCUGAUGUUUCUAAUUAAAUCUUGUUCUUUCAAAUGCUGAAAUAAUAAGUCACCCAUUUGAUUUUGCAAUCUUUAGCAAUGAAAUAAAUAAUUCUUAUGUAGAAUCUAGCCUAUUGACGACAAACUAGAAAUUUUUUAAAUUAAAUUGCUUGUUAUAUUUUUGUCUGAUAUGAUUAUUUAUGUCAUUUAUAUGCAUGUAUGACUAUUUCUUAUUGUUUUUGUGAAAUUCAUCGUUUUAUUGGUAGAGAAUUUUGUUUGUUUGAAUAUUGGUCUUACGUGGUAAAAGCUACAAAUUUACCUCAUAUUAAAGUUUACACUAUUUAUAUGUAUGUAGAUUCAUCAUGGAGAGGCUUAAUUCUAUUGACAAAAGUUGGAUACCAUUAGAUGUCAAUGACUCGCAUUUUAUUGGAGGUCUUGAAUUGUUUAUUGACUUUGCCGUAAAACAUUGUCGGGGUUGUAUAUGCAGCUCUCAAUCUGAUUUAGAAGCUACUCUCUUUAAGGUACCUAUUUUCUCUCUUCUGUUAUAGUUAUGUUAAGAAAGAUAUGAAGUUAUCUAUGCAUGUUGUAUUGGUUGAAGACUACUUUCCAAGAAGCCUCGUGCCAUUAAGGAAGUAUAUUGUUUCCUUUCUUUGUCAUUCAAAUGCAUGAUUUAUAGUCAUUCUGUUAUUAGUUUCUUGAUGAUUGUGAAGUGAUUGUUUUAAAAGAUCUUCUCCAUUAAAUUUUACUUGUCAGAGUAUCAAAUAGUUACAUUUAUAGAGCAAUAAACACAAUUCAUACUUUAUAGGUACCUUAAUAAUUGUAGGAACUUUAGCAAUAAACUCAAUCCAUACUUUAUAGGUACCUUGAUAAUUGUAGGAACUUUAGCAAUAAACGCAAUCCAUACUUAAUAUAGAGCUCUUGUUACUGGAAAUUCCAUUGUUUUGCACGGAGAUUUGCAUAAGUACUUAAGAUAUGAGGUAGAUAGGAGCUGAGGACAACACUUUGCUCCCAACUGGUAUAGAGCGAAGGUUUUUCGUUUUACUAUACAAUACUAUCACUAUUCCUUGUAAUUUAGGUUUGACGAGGUUUUUCUUGGUUUGAGGGUCACAUACACGUUGCAUAAUGUGUGUUUAUAGAGGAAAAGGUAGGCCAUCUUCUACAUAAGCUGUUUUGAAUAAAGAGUCGUUGUUUGGUAGUUAGGUGUGCUGCUAAUUCUAUGGUCCAUAUGUGUUGUCAAUCUAGGAAACUGGUCUAUAUAAUUUUGUACUUCCUUUAAAAAAACUCCACAUGUAAGUAUGCGUGAUAGUUUUGAUGGUUCCAAUCCAUGUCUAUUUGAUUUCACAAAGUACUUUUAUUUGUUCUUAAUAUUGAGAGGGCGAUCAAAACAAAGUUGGAGGGUGAAAUUUAGAGUUUCAUUCUUUGCAGUUCUCCUCUUGUUUACACUUCACCUAGCUAAUAAUAUUAUCACACCCCCCUAUUUGAUAAGUUACCUAAUAAUUUGGAUGAAGAUAUUUGUGGCUGCUUCUUGUCCUGGUCUCGUCACUUUAUUUCUCACGCAAAACGUAUAUGUAGUUGCUUGACUUUCAUUAAUCAUUAUUAGUAAGAAUUAAUUCUUUUGAGUUUUGCACUCUAUUCUUACUCUGUUGUAUAAUGGCAGUACAGAACCUUCCAUUCAUUGAGAACAUGGAGAAAAGGAUUCAGAGUGCAAGCUCAAUGUUUUUACCUACUGCUUAAUACAGAACUGGGAGACGUUGGUGGUUGACGCGUGGUAGGGGUGACUGCUCUCUGUUCACUAGAACAUGCCAAUAUUGCUGCAGACCAAAAGAAAGGAGGCAGGACAUAAUUGUUCACUAAAAACAGGCCAAUAUUGCUGCAGACCAAAGGAAGGGAUUUGUAGGAUAGCUUUUGAUGGUUGCGAACUGUCACAAGAACGUAAUUGUUUUGCACUCCAUUUUAUUUCAUUGGUGUAAUUGUUUAAAGUUGAUGAUAUACAUGUUGUUGUUGUAACCAUUUAUUUUGGAAUUUUGUCUUAAAUGUUUGAGAAGAUAAAGUAAAAUGUUUUCUCUUUUGGAAUUGCAUCAGGCACUGGCAGUACUGAAAUAUUGAAAAUGUGAAUGUAGGAAUUUUUUUUUUUUU
This 3485-nucleotide long non-coding RNA is filed under the name Aquilegia coerulea. Its description in RNAcentral is "long non-coding RNA (ACOE_LNC001967)". The record is from RNAcentral. Lineage: Eukaryota; Viridiplantae; Streptophyta; Magnoliopsida; Ranunculales; Ranunculaceae.